UACAGAGGUGGCAAGCGUUGUUCGGAAUUACUGGGCGUAAAGGGCGCGUAGGCGGUCUUCUAAGUCAGACGUGAAAUCCCCCGGCUUAACCUGGGAACUGCGUCUGAUACUGGACGGCUUGAGUAUGGGAGAGGGAUGUAGAAUUCCAGGUGUAGCGGUGAAAUGCGUAGAUAUCUGGAGGAAUACCGGUGGCGAAGGCGGCAUCCUGGACCAUUACUGACGCUGAGGCGCGAAAGCUAGGGGAGCAAACAGG
Molecule: ribosomal RNA, 253 nt
Filed under: uncultured bacterium
Lineage: Bacteria
Description: partial 16S ribosomal RNA
Rfam family: Bacterial small subunit ribosomal RNA
Source: RNAcentral